RNAcentral lists this ribosomal RNA (253 nucleotides) under uncultured bacterium. Its description in RNAcentral is "partial 16S ribosomal RNA". It matches the Rfam family "Bacterial small subunit ribosomal RNA", at positions 524 to 776 of the family's 1533-position model. The record is from RNAcentral.
UACGGAGGGGGCUAGCGUUGUUCGGAAUUACUGGGCGUAAAGCGUACGUAGGCGGCUUUGUAAGUUAGAGGUGAAAGCCCAGAGCUCAACUCUGGAAUUGCCUUUAAGACUGCAUCGCUUGAAUCGUGGAGGGGUUAGUGGAAUUCCGAGUGUAGAGGUGAAAUUCGUAGAUAUUCGGAAGAACACCAGUGGCGAAGGCGACUAACUGGACACGUAUUGACGCUGAGGUACGAAAGCGUGGGGAGCAAACAGG